AGAAUCAACGCUGGCGGCGUGCCUAACACAUGCAAGUCGAACGAGAAAGGGGAGCAAUCCCUGAGUAAAGUGGCGACCGGGUGAGUAACACGUGACUAGCCUACCCUCGAGUGUGGAAUAACAGUACGGGAAACCGAUGCUAAUACCGCAUAACAUCGGCGCUUCUCAAGAAGUGACGAUCAAAGGAGCAAUCCGUUUGAGGGAGGGGUCGCGGCUGAUUAGCUAGUUGGCGGGUAACGGCCCACCAAGGCGAAGAUCGGUA
This 262-nucleotide ribosomal RNA is filed under the name uncultured bacterium. RNAcentral's name for it is "partial small subunit ribosomal RNA". It matches the Rfam family "Bacterial small subunit ribosomal RNA", at positions 26 to 285 of the family's 1533-position model. The record is from RNAcentral.